AGUGAACGCUGGCGGUAGGCCUAACACAUGCAAGUCGAACGGCAGCACAGUAAGAGCUUGCUCUUACGGGUGGCGAGUGGCGGACUGGCGAGGAAUACAUCGGAAUCUACUUUUUCGUGGGGGAUAACGUAGGGAAACUUACGCUAAUACCGCAUACGACCUACGGGUGAAAGCAGGGGAUCUUCGGACCUUGCGCGAUUGAAGGAGCCGAUGUCGGAUUAGCUAGUUGGCGGGGUAAAGGCCCACCAAGGCGACGAUCCGUAGCUGGUCUGAGAGGAUGAUCAGCCACACUGGAACUGAGACACGGUCCAGACUCCUACGGGAGGCAGCAGUGGGGAAUAUUGGACAAUGGGCGCAAGCCUGAUCCAGCCAUACCGCGUGGGUGAAGAAGGCCUUCGGGUUGUAAAGCCCUUUUGUUGGGAAAGAAAAGCAGCAGGUUAAUACCCCGCUGUUCUGACGGUACCCAAAGAAUAAGCACCGGCUAACUUCGUG
RNAcentral lists this ribosomal RNA (492 nucleotides) under uncultured bacterium. Its description in RNAcentral is "partial 16S ribosomal RNA". It matches the Rfam family "Bacterial small subunit ribosomal RNA", at positions 29 to 507 of the family's 1533-position model. The record is from RNAcentral.